This 21-nucleotide non-coding RNA is filed under the name Caenorhabditis elegans. Lineage: Eukaryota; Metazoa; Nematoda; Chromadorea; Rhabditida; Rhabditidae. The record is from RNAcentral.
UGAAACAAAAUUUAAAAAAAG